UCCGGCUUGACGCCGGCAGUCCCCCGAGAGUCCUCAGCAUGACCUGUUAGUAACACGGGGCAAGGGUUGCGCUCGUUGCGGGACUUAACCCAACAUCUCACGACACGAGCUGACGACAGCCAUGCAGCACCUUGCUUUGUGCCCCGAAGGGAAGCUACGUUUCCGUAGCGGUCACUCGCAUUCUAGCCCAGGUAAGGUUCUUCGCGUUGCAUCGAAUUA
Molecule: unclassified non-coding RNA, 219 nt
Filed under: uncultured bacterium
Lineage: Bacteria
Description: contains 16S-23S intergenic spacer region
Source: RNAcentral